UACGACGUAUGCAAGCGUUAUCCGGAAUUAUUGGGCGUAAAGCGUUUGUAGGCGGGCGAGUGUGUUUAAUGUUAAAUCUUAAAGCUCAACUUUGAAAUUGCGUUAAAAACUGCUUGUCUUGAGUAUGGUAGGGGUAAAGGGAAUUCCCAGUGUAGCGGUGAAAUGCGUAGAUAUUGGGAAGAACACUAAACAGCGAAGGCACUUUACUAGGCUAAUACUGACGCUGAGAAACGAAAGGUAAGGUAGCGAAACGGAUUAGAUACCCGUGUAGUCUUACCCGUAAACUAUGGACACUAAACGGUAAAUUUUUAAUUUACUGUUAAAGCUAACGCGUUAAGUGUCCCGCCUGGGGAGUAUGCUUGCAAAAGUGAAACUCAAAGGAAUUGACGGGGGCCCGCACAAGCGGUGGAGCAUGUGGUUUAAUUCGACGGUACACGAAGAACCUUACCAGGAUUUGACAUGCUAGAUAGUUGCUUGAAAGAGUAACGUGCCGUAAGGAAUCUAGACACAGGUGGUGCAUGGCUGUCGUCAGUUCGUGUUGUGAAAUGUUGGGUUAAGUCCCGCAACGAACGCAACCCUUGUCUUUAGUUAUUUUCUAAAGAGACUGCCUGUAAUAAACAGGAGGAAGGUAAGGAUGAGGUCAAGUCAUCAUGCCCCUUAUGUCCUGGGCUACACACGUGCUACAAUGGGAAAGACAAUGAGCUGCAAAUCUGUAAAUUUAAGCAAAUCUCUUAAACUUUCUCGUAGUUCGGAUUGUGGGCUGCAACUCGCCCACAUGAAGUUGGAAUCGCUAGUAAUCGCCAGUCAGCUAUAUGGCGGUGAAUCCGUUCCCGGGCCU
RNAcentral lists this ribosomal RNA (838 nucleotides) under uncultured bacterium. RNAcentral describes it as "bacterial SSU rRNA". It matches the Rfam family "Bacterial small subunit ribosomal RNA", at positions 524 to 1381 of the family's 1533-position model. The record is from RNAcentral.